RNAcentral lists this long non-coding RNA (14004 nucleotides) under Equus caballus (horse). RNAcentral's name for it is "lncRNA (ENSECAG00000056467.1)". The record is from RNAcentral. Lineage: Eukaryota; Metazoa; Chordata; Mammalia; Perissodactyla; Equidae.
GGAGGGGAUGUGAGGUCAGGGGACCUGCCUGUUACCAGCUGUAAGAUCUUGAUGAACCAGAGGUGAUAACAGAGGCCCUUCCUGGAACUGCUGUGAGGAGUAAAUGAGAUAAGAACGUGGAAGUGAAGCACAGGUGUCAGUUAUUAAUGAGAGUCUGUUAACCUAAUAGACACCACUGACUGAGCUCUUACAACUGCACGGGACGAGGGCUUCACUUCACUAGCCUGGCCUCCUUUAAUCCAAUAAUCGCACAAAGAGGGCCCUGUAAGUAUCUCUAUUUAUCAAAUGAAGAAACUGAAGGCCAGAGAAGUCAUGGAACCUACCCCAGGUCACACAGCUGGUCAGUGGCACAAUGUGGAUUUGAACACGGGCUCUUGGUCACUCUGCGGUGCUUUCCUCUAUGCAGCAGUCUCUGUGUUAGCCACAGAGAUGUGAAAGUGGCGAUCUUGUGGGGUCGAGACUGCAGAGCGCACAGCUUGGCUGUAACACACACCCACAAAGAUGCUACGAGAGAGAAAUGCUGGAAGAGCCAUGAGAAGCUGGGAUUGGAAAGGGGUCACAAUCUCCCCAGAAGAGGUAACGCAUGAACUGAAUGUUGAAAGAGAAGCAGGAGUUUGUCCAGCAAAGAAAAGGGAAAACCAAGCAAAAUCUCAGAUUGCCUUGGGACCCUGAAUGACCCAACUCACACUGUGCCAGGGGCAGCUGCCACCGUCCGGCUGCCUGACACAGAGUGAGUGGGCAUGGGAGCGGUCACUAGAGGGCAGGGACCCAUGUCACCCGUCUCUGCACACCCAAAGCCUGGCCCAGAGUGGGUGCUCAGGGCCCGUUCGUGGACUUGAACUGAGUCCAUGGAAACACACCUGGUAGAACUCUUGAAGACGUCGCCUGACAUCCUCACUUCGCGGGCAGCCGACUGAGACCUGCCAACAAACAAAAAUUCAACUGAGUAAAUUUAAAGAUCGAAUCGGCUUUAUUAAAUGAUUCAUGAAUCUGGCAGCGUCCCAUCCAGCAGGUAGAGAGGAGCUCCAAAGGGUGACAGAGAAGGAAAGGUUUUUAAAGGCGGGACAAGGAAGUCAUAAACAGAAAAAAGGAUUAUUUCAGGUGAGGUCAGCUUCCUUUGGGGGACAAGAGUCUAUUCGGUGAAUUACCUCGUCUUCCUUUAGGGGAUGGGGAGGGUCCAUGGGACAGAUUACCUCGCUAGUGCUGACCAGAAAAUUCCAGACUGACCAGUUAAGAUUACACUCCUGGAAAAGGUUGGAACUGCAAUUAGUUUAGGUAUUAAGCCCUGGUUUGGUGACAUGUCUUAGCAUAAGUGACUCCAUAUUGGACCUGUGGUUUUCUUUUUAACAGACCCAGAGAGGGAUAGAAUGAGGGAGACUUCAAGUUCCAUGUGUACCCUGGCCCAGAGGGUCCCAAGGCAACGGGAGCAGGAAGGAAGUAGAACGGAGUCAGGGGAACAGGCCUUCAGUGUGAACUGGGCUUGGGCUGGAGGGCUGAGUUAAAGUGAUGACUGAGGACAGAAACUAUUAGAAGGAGGUCAGUUAGCAUGGAAGUUGUGGCCAGAUGGAGCUCAGAUUGAUUUGGGGCUCUGCCCCCCACUGGCUACAUCAGCUUGGACAAAUUAAAUUCUCUGAACCUCAGUUUCCACAUUCGGAAGACGGAGAUAACAGGGUCCAUCGUAGGGGAAACGAUGCAAAUAAAGACGUCAGCACCUGCCUGGGACAUAGUAAGUGCUCAAUAAAUAGUGCUGAUUCCGGGGUCCCAGUUACACUUUUUUGCUAAUGCCCAUCAGUAGCCUAUUGAGCUGACUCCCCUCCUGGCCCGUCUUCCUGCUGUCAGAACCUCUCCCAGGAACUCAGAAAUUCUGCAAAAUUGGUGAGACUCAGUGGUGACUCAGCACCACUGAAAUGGCCUAAAAUGUCACAUUAAAUAAGAGAGGAGGCAGAUGUAGAUGGAUCUCGGUCUGUGAAAGAGUUUGCUUUCACCAACAGGUGUGGGCAGAAGACUCAUUGGAGAGUGGCCCCCAGCACCCCCUAUUUGAAAAAGGUAAGCCCACUCAGAAGUGGGCCCCCUGCAUAGUCCUCAGUACCCAUAGGGUCUCUGAAAAACAAAAAUAUAAGUUCCAGGAUUUUGCCAGGGAGCACGGACACUGCCUGUUGUGGUCUACUGAAAACAAGACGGGGGGAGGGUUCAUUUUAGAAACUUGCCCACGAAAAGUUCCCAAGGAUGCAUCCAAAACAGAGGUGAGCGCGUAGUUGGGUUGUUUUGCCAGCAACUCCCCACAAGCAGUCACUUUCCCCCAAACCAUGCCUUCUCGAGGAUUUGUAAGUCGUCUCUUCCAUACUUUGCCCAGGAAGAAAGUAAAUAUUUUUUCAAUGAAAUUCAGCAAUCAAUUAAACACCGGCUCUCCUUAAUAUGAACGUUGAACCAACAGCGGCUGCACAUUCCAACAAGAAUAUUUAAAGCAAUUAAACUUUAGCUACUUCUAAAACAAAUUCUUUUAAAUGCUAAUGACCAUUGUUUUCGUACUUGAUAAGUAAAAUUUUGUGUCGAGCAAGGUUAGAUGAUUGCAAUGAUUUAAUUGUACUUCUCAAAGAAAGGAAAAUGUUAAGAAAAAAGCUAAGAUGGACCUCUUACCACAUUCCUACCGCAAAAUGUCCUGUAACAAUAGAGCCGUGAUUUGCUGAAAUUAAAAUGCUAUUAUGGUGAAAUUAGGGCUUCAAUAUUUUUAGCAGCUUUAAUAGGCCUUGCAUUUUAAGGGACAUCUGAUAAUAGAUAAUUACAUUUCAUCUUAAAGAAACUGAGUUGUUUUCUUAAGGAAAAUACUUUUCUUUCUUCCAGAGAGGUUAAAGCUGAGCCAUCAUUAGAAGCAGCACCCAGCUCGGGUUCCUGCUUCAGCUUGGGAAAUAGAGAUUAGCAUAUAAAUAGCCUUCGGUGCCUGCUUGAUUCCAGCUAUUUUGCGUUUCAAUGUGGCAUCAGAAUGCACUUAGCAAGAAAUGUUCGAGAGGAGAAAGAGGUUUGUAAUAUGUCGCUUUUAUAGAGGGGGGAACUUUAAGUAUAAAAGAUCAUCCACUCCUUGUGGGCUUUUUUUUUUUUUUUGUAUCCUUUCAAUGCCCCAAUUACAGACUCCAAGGAGCCAACAGACCCCCUAGAACGGAGCCUUAGUUUACGAGGCAGCUCUUUCUUCGGACCGGGAAAAUAAGUCAAAAUGGUGCACAGGAAGUAAGAUAAAUACGCGGGCUUCCUCCCGGAUCCGGCUGGAGCCCUGGGGGGCACAGUCGUGCCCUGCUCCUCCCCCCCACGCCACCCAUCAGCAGAGGGACGUUGGACAGCUCCUCCAGGACCCGUCUGCUGGAGCAGUGAGAGCGAGUGCUGGCUUUCUGCCUGGAGGGCGAGUUCCCUCCUGGGAAAUUGCAGGGACUGGGCGCCGAGCCCGGGGUUCUUUCUGCCCUCUUCAUUCCACCCCCACCCCUCCACGCACGCAUGCCCGCGUUCCGGCUGCCUCUGGGUCAGGCUGAGUCUUGGGCUGCAGCAAGAAGAUUCUUAAAGCCCACACUUUCUCUCCUUUGGCACAAGGCAGUUGGACAGCUCUGAGAUGAAUGGGGCUGCACAGCUGUCGGGGGUGACACAGUUUUCCCUGGAUGUGGCCGUAGCAGAGGAGCUCAGGUCAAGCAGGUGGUGGCCCCUAGUCCAGCUCCUGGGGUGGCUUGGACCAACCCCGAGCCCUGGGUUCUAGUCCCGGCUGCCCUGUGAACUUGUGAUGGACGCAUCAGACAAGCUCUAAGCCUGAGUUCCUUCAUCUGUGAAAAGGAGAAGUACAAACGCUGCCCUGUCCGCUCGCGGGGCUAACAUAGGCAACAAAUGAGAAAAUGGACGUGACAGAACUUGGUAAGCUCCCUCCCCUGUUAGCAUUGUGUUAUUAGGCUGUUGGUAAGGUUUUGUCCUGGAUAGUCUGUCCUUUUGUCCAUCCACCCUAGCAACUCACCCAUGCUCCCAGGGCUCUGCCCAACCCGCUGACCUGAAGUAAGAGGGGUAAGGAGUAAAUAUUUUUUCAGGAAACCAGUUAGGAAAUGACAGCCCCCUCAGCUCUCAGCCCAAAGGCACCCGUUUGGGUUGUGUGAAGACAGGGCUGGGGCUUGCGUUGCAGAUAGACCUGGGCAUCAAGUUCCUGCCUCACCACUGGUAGCACCUGAGGCAUGUCGUCUGCUCCCUGAGUCUUAUCUUCACCGAUAAUGCGAGCCGCCUUCCAGGGAUGUUUUGAGACUCAAAGUGGAAACCUGAUGGAAAGUCCUUCAGGAACUGUAAAGUGUGGGGCAAUUGUUUACUUCUUGUCCUUCUGGCCUGCACACAGAGUAAGCACUGUGCCCUGGAGCCCCACAGCAAGAUGGCUGGGCUAGGGUACCGGCAGCUUGUUCCAUCCCGCCUCAUCCCAGCAUCACGCCCCCAAACCUAGAAGCCCUCACAGCGGGACAGUGUCCUGGUGAGCCCAAGGCACUCCUUGGUGUAUGUGACAUUGCCCAGGCUGAGCAGCGGCCCUCUCAGCCUCCACCAUGGCCCACAGACCCUAAGGGCACUGGCUCUCUGGGAAGGUCACCUUUACUUCCACGACAAUCCUUGUAAGCGGAGGAUUCUAACCCGGCUACAAUGGGAGCCCCUCACCUGGGCUCCUCAAUGGGAAAGUUACCAACGUGCAAAAUCUUUCUUUCUUUCUCCCCCCGUGCUGCAGCUUCAAAUACUCACUGCUCAAAGAAGAAUCAUGCUGAUUCUGGACUUCACGCAUGAAGCCUAGGUUUUCAUCCCAAAACGCUAUGUUGGAACAAAGGUGACUCCUUAUGAGGAGACCUGAAGGGUGACUCAAUGUGCUGGCACAGUGGGGUGGAGACCGCAGUGGGCUCUGGCAAGAGUUCUGGGUCCUGGUCCACUCUCUGCUGCUGACCUUGGAUGAUUUCUUUCCACUGUGUGACCCACUCUAUAAGGUGAGGUCCCUGCAUCAGACAACCUCCAGGGGCCCUUGAUGCUCAAAUUUCCAUUCCUUCCUAUAUUACUGUUCUCCUGGGUUUCCUCUGGCCAGAGUGCUCUUCUCUCUAGCUGAGAUACUCAACAGCAUCUGUCUUGCCAACCCAGGCAACUAUAGUAUCAGCUUCCAUUUAGAGCAUCUUCUAUUAUCCCCAGUUGAUACAUUAGAAAAUCAAGGCUCAGAGGAGUUGACUGGCUGACCCAUAGUCACACAGCUGUGAGAGAGGAACCAAGCUUCAACCUCAAGCGUCGACUCAGCUUCAGAGCCUGUGUUCUUAAUUAUCACACACUGUGGCAUUUUCCUGUGUCACUGCCUAGUUACUGUUUAUAAAAAUCACACAGCUAUAAGUGAGGAACCAAAAUUCAACCUCAGGCUUCAACUCAACUUCAGGGGCACGUUCUUAAUUAUCACACACUGUGGCGUUUUCCUGCAUCAUUGCCUGGUUAUUGUUUACAAUCAACGUGACUGUAAGACAGUCUAUGUCUCUCAUGCCUCAAAUUAUUUACCAAGACUUGACACAAAGAACACUGAUUCUACUGAAUGUUAAUCCUCGAAAAAAUAGUUUUCAUGAUCAAGUGAGUUUGACAUUGAGUAAAACAAGUAAACAGUUUCUCUUUAACUGCAAGACUUCUCAGAGCCUUUAAGAUGUGAGUAAGGUGCAUUUUAAAUCUACUAGAGGGGAUAGAGUAUACAAUUUUCCCCAAAGCUCUUUGUCCAUAGACCUCCUCCCUUUUUUUUUUUCCCCUUUGAGAAACUUGUGUUCCACUAAAAGACUAGGGUUCUACAAUUUCGCUACUCAAGCAUGAGACUGUCCCCAGACAGGCAACAUCAGGUGUCACCUGGAGCUAGUUAAAAAUACAGAAUCUCAGACCCUGCCUAGACCUGCCAAACCAGAGUCUGCAUUUUAAUAAGAGGCCCAGGUGGUUCGCGUGCCCAGUAAAGUUUGAAAAGCCCUGGUCCACGCUACACGUUUAGGGAAACAUGGCUUGAUGCAAGAGCAAUCAAGCCAUAAAAUCCAGUGGUGAAAAAAGUAUCAAGCACUAUUUGGCAUCACGUGGACCAAAUGACUAGAUUUGGAAUUAAGUCGAGGUGCUGUAACAUCACACAGAAUCCAAGAGAAUUCCCACAAUGUAAUGUUUCUCCCCAUUCCUAAUGGGAUGUCAAAAUUGAUAGAGAUGGAAGGAUGAUCAAUACCCUUUGCUAAAGGCAUUCCUAGAAUUCGGACAUGGAAAGCAUUGCAUUCCUCUUCCUAAAGUAUGAAGAUUUUUUAAAAAUUUCAGCUUUAUUGAGGUAUAAUUGACAUAUAAAAUUGUAAGAUAUUUAAAGUGUACAUUGUGGUGAUUUGAUAUACAUAUGCAUUGUGAAAGGAUUCCCCCCCUAGCGUUAGUUGACACCUCUAUCACUUCACAUAUUUAUCUUUUCUUUUUUACGGGAACAUUUAAGUUCUACUCUCAGUAUAUUUCAAUUAUACAAUUAUCAACUAUAGUCGCUAGGUCUUACAUUAGAUCCUCAGACCUUGUUCAUCUUAUAGCUGAAAGUUUGUACCCUUUGACAAACCUCUGCCUAUUUCCUCCACCCCCAGCCCCUGGCAACCACUUUUCUCUCUCAAUCAUAGAAGUAGGCGAGGUUAUGGGCAUCCCUGGGUUAUCACCUGGGAUAUUCUUGGGAAAUGACCCAUUGGUCCCUAAGCCUGGCAUCUCAGCAGACAGCCUCAAGGUUACAAAAGCUUGUCUCAAGGUUUUAAAAAUCACAGCUGAAAUGACCCAUUCAUGCAAGAUAAGACCUAUGCCUGCAGAAAACUGCCUUUGCUUUUGGCUGCAAUUAUUUCAAUUCAUGUGGUCACACUCUCUCAGGCUGACCUGACAUUUCAAGCUGUAGUUUGAUAUAUCUUUGCUCAACACAAGAUAGGGAAGCAAAUUAGACUUAACUUAAUUACUUCAAUGUUUUGGGGAGACAAAAAGUUUUCUAAGUCUGUGAGCAGAGAGGUUCACUAAGCGGCCCAAAGACACAGAGCUUGUAAGUGAUGACAGAUCUGUUGACUCCCAAGUCAGGACUCUUUCCAGUGCAGAGGCAACCCAAGGACACAUGUGUGUUUUGUCACACUCUUCACAUUUGGCUCCUAAGGAGUUUACCCUUCCCUAAACCCUUCCUUUUAUAAUACAAAGCACCCCUGUCUCCCUCCGCACGUCCCCCCGCUCUACUCUGCCUUUGGGUUUAGAACCUCUCAUUCAUCUUUAUUGAAUUCCUUUCUUUAGGUGCUGCCCAAUGUACCACCUCGCUAAGAUUUUUUUUCCCAUUCUAAAUUGUCAUGCAAAUCAUCUUCUAGUGCUCUCCACAGCUAGGAUGACUCUACCUACCUCCCUUGUCACUGGAGGAAAGGCCUUGUCAAGGAUGGAGCUCCACAGCCCCCUCUGAGAAGUAGGUAACUAGUAACCUGUCAAUCAAUUUGGAUGCAUCUCCUGGCCAAAAUAUCUAAAAUGGAACUCCCAGUUCUUCCCCGAGUCUUCCCACGUGCAGUAUGGCACCGCCAUAAAUUUGGUUGAUGGGAGAAAAAAUGUCUGUUCCUUUUUAUUCUUCAUCCAUCGUAUCUUAUCUAUCAGCAAGUCCUUUCCACUCAACUUCCAAAAGAUAGGCUAAAUCCUGUCACCAGCACUGUCACCAGCAGGUCUAAAACAUUGUCAUCUCUCACCUGGACCACUGCAAGCAUCUCCUAACUACUCUUCUUCCUUCUACUCAUGCUCUCUCCGGUCACUUGCCACAAGGCAGCCAGAGCGGUCAGCCACUGAAACAGCAUCAGAUCACACCACUCCCUUGCUUAAAACCCUUCCCCUCUGGAAUGUAGGCUCCAUGAGAUCUAGGCCCCAACUUUCAUAUUCACCUGUGUAUCCCAGGUGCCAACUGUGUACCUAGCACAAAGUAGGUAUCCAGUAAAUAAUGCUUGCGUGAAUGAAUCAAGUAACGACCUUAGUUGCAAAUAACAAGAAUCUUCUGUUAUUUAUAUAAAAGUGGCCCUUACUCUUUUUUGGUUUUUCUUUUUAUUCUAACAUUGUGGUAAGUCUUCUCUAGUCUCUGAGAUGUCAACAUAUCUAGACUCUAAGCAAUUUAUUCCUCCUCUUUCCUCCAGCCAACAGAAGCAAAGUGAAAGGAAUUUGCAACUUACACACACAAAUGCGUCUCCCUUCAGUUAUGUUGCUUGAGAAUAGAUGGGAGAUUAUGCUGAUUGAACUGGACAUUUUCCAUUUUUAUUAUUUCAAUUAUAAACAUAAACUAUUGGGGGUAAAAAUCAAAUGGAAAUCUGCCUAUCAAUUUCACAAUUAGCAUCUCAUUUCAAGAGACCAAUCAACUCAAAUGAGGGCCAGUGACCUUAAUCUUUCCCCAAAUACAGUGCUUGAUUCCUCUUAUUAGUUGAAAAUCUCCAAACUAUGAAACAUUUGGGUUAACCCCAUGUUUGCAUCAAUGAUGCUAUUACCACAUUUAAAUAAGUCCGGGGAUUUUUGUGACCUUUGUGUUACAGUUUGUAUGGCUGAAAGCAGAAGACUAAGGCUGUGCAAAUCAAGGAGAAAUAACAAGGGCCUCUUUUUUCCUUUAUUUUUCUAAGACUGUGGAAGGAAGUGUGAUUUUUAGGAGACUUAUUUUGCCACCAAUUAGCUGAAAUUAAUCUAAGAGGAGAGUAAACCCCAGAAGUCAAAGGCAGCCAAUUUUAAUCAUGAAAGUCUGUUAAAAAUCCAAUCAGAAAAAAACAUUGUCUUUGUGAUAUAGGAGGCGGGAAAUCUGGGUUUUUAAAAAAGGAGAGAAAUAGGGGUUGGCCCUAUGGCCAACUGGUUAAGUUCUCGCGCUCCACUGCAGGUGGCCCAGUGUUUCAUUGGUUCGAAUCCUGAGCGCGGACAUGGCACUGCUCAUCUAACCACGCUGAGGCAGCAUCCCACAUGCCACAACUAGAAGGACCCACAACGAAGAAUAUACAACUAUGUACUGGGGGGCUUUGGGGAGAAAAAGGAAAAAAAUAAAAUCUUAAAAAAAAAAGAGAGAGAAAUAGAAAAAGAAACAUUUGACCUGGCAAACAAAGCAUCUACAGAACAUCAAUAUCCUUGCAGAGAUUAGAACAAGACCACGUGCUCUGCGGAAUGAACCCCCAACUCCUGAAACACCGAAGGCUCCACCUAGACACACACACAGGUACCAACCGACCCUUAGAACUAGACGGACCAGUUCCUAAUGGGUUUGUUAACAGCUAUCUGGAUAAUUUCUCUUUGGAGAAGACUUGGGGUGCACAAGAUACCAAAACUACCCAUGAAACAUUUCAAGGUCAGCCAGGAAGCUGCCAGUCUUGUCCACCUGACUCCAUUGAUUGAUGCGCAUUGAAUAGCUGCAUCCAAGUCUUUGCUGAGGUGACUGAUUUUUCUUCAACUUGGCUGCACUAAUAAUUGGCUGUUUGGGAUCUAUAUGGCUAGAAUUCUUAAGCUGCAAGAAAUAGACGUAAGCCAAGCUUAGGCAGGAAAGGGGAAUUCAUUAAGAGGAUGUAGGACGGUUCCUCAGAACUCAAGGGCACAAACAGCACCAGACCUCAAGAAAGACCUUGCUCCGUGUCUCCUUUCUGUUCUCCUCAGCACAUCUGCUUCUCCGUUCACAAGACUGAAGGAAAUGGCCACCCCUCGCUACCUACUUCCCAUGUGGUCUAUUCUAGAGACCAAUCCAGCCUCUACCGGAAUCUUUGGGUCUCAAAUUAUGAGCAGAAAGAAUCUGAAUCACCAAAUUUGGGUCAGGUAUCCAUUCUGACACAUUUGACCAUGGCCAAUGAGGGUGGGUCACAUGGCACAGACAUGGCACAUCCGUGUAGCCAAAGAUGAAGAGAGCAAUUCAGGAAGAUCAGUAAGAGCUGGGCAGAAUCCCCCAGAAUGUGUCCAGUAAAAGAUUGCGUUGUCACAACCAGAGACGACUGAACUAGCCUCACACACAGAGCCACAGCCAAGCCAAAUGAGUCCCAUUGAACCUCCGGUCACACCAUCUCCUCAGGGUGAGAGGCUGGCACCCGGUGGGGACUGCUGCUCUGUAGCUGCACAGCAUUCUGGGAGAGGAGCCCUGGCUCUCCUGUCUGAGAGCACCCUGCCUUCUUCUUCUUCAUACUGCUUGUCACAGUUUAUAAUCCUCCCUUUAUCUGUAAACUGAUUUAAUGAGCAUCUCUCUCCACCACUUGGCUUGAAGUUCUAUGAGGUCAGGUACCAUAUUGGUUUCACUUGCCUUCAUAUUCCUGGUACCGUGCCUGGCACACAGUGGGUACUCACGAAAGAAUACUGAAUGAAGGAAUGAAUGAAAGGGUUGCUGAAUGAAUGAAUGGAGUGAAGGAGGUCAGGUAAGUUUUUCCAGAUGAUUUGGUACAUGAGUUGCGUCUUGAAGGACAAACAAGAGUUUUCUAGGAGAACAGGUCGGGAGAGGGAAUGACAGGUACAAAUGUUACCAUGGAGACUGUGAGGCAGGUUUGGGCAAGAGAUCUGGCUAGAAAGGGGCUGUGGAGGCCAGCUAAUGGAUGGCCUUGUGUAGAAAUUGGAGGAUAAAGAGCUAGAAAGUAUAUUUCUAGAUUUUAGACAAAUCCAUCUGAUGGGAAGGUCGGGGCUGGAUUGGAGGCAGGAAGGUGAAUUAGGAAGUUUAUGUAGUCAUCCAAAAGAGAAAAGAAAUGGCAGUGGGAAUGAGGAGGAGCAGAUUUUAAGAGCUAUUAAGGAAGUUGAAUCAGCAGAAACUCACGGAAUGUAAUUUUCUCUGUUUUGUUACAUAGUUGUUUAUGCGCAUCUCAUCUCCCCUGCAAGACUGGGCGCUUCUGACUCUGUCUUCCUUAUUCCUGGGCUACCAGGGCUUGCACAGUGCCCACCCAACACACAGCAAUUUGUUGAAAAGAUAAACUCGCGAAUGAUUGAAUGAUGACCACUAACCAAGGGUAUCAACAGGAUGCGGGGGUUGGGGAGGGUGUGGCAGCAGGGUCCUCUGAGGGUUUCACAGAACCUUGCUUCUUCGAUGUUUAUCUUGCCUCCAGGACUCUUUAGAGUUCCUAACCUUCUUUUAUAUCCACCUCAACCUCCAGGACAGGCUUGGGCUCAGGGUAACAUCUCUGUCUAAUGACCUGAACUGGAAUAGACUGAAAUGGAAUGGAACGGACCUCCUAUUCUUCAGAAACUACCUAACACACAGACUUGAAGCUGAGGAAUGGCUGGCAGAACAUCCCCCUGCAAAGGCUGAGAGUAGAUGAGGCAGGAGCCUCGCUCAGGGCUUCUAGAAGGAUAACUUAAUCUAACUGAACCACCCCUUUCAGCUAAGUGCCGGGAGAAGGGAGAAUAAAACCCCUUCAAGUGACCAAAAACACUGGAACCCCUGGGCAAAGACCAGAAUCCAAAGCCUCACAGAGCCAUACUGAGCCCGAACUAAUACCAGAAGCUUCUGACCUUAGGAAAUGAUGCAAGUGAAUGAAGGGUUGUUCCCAGCUUUCUUCUCAGUAAGCAUCUGAUGAAUGAAUGAAUGGACGAACGAACUAAUAAAUGAAUAUUUUCUACCUAUUCAUGGCAAGUUUUAAAAAAAGAAUGAAGACUGGAAAUAGCUGAUUCUUUAGUGAAUAGAGAUAUUACAUUUUACCUAAGAAUCUAUUAUUUCCUUGAUCUAUAUUAUUUACAAGCUGGAAAACAGUUUAUUGCAAACAUUGGUUCCAUUUCAAUAAAAAGUCAUAUAUGGAAAUUGUAAGGUAACAGGAUCGUGUCAUACAGCCUGAUGCCCGCCUCACCCAGGACAAGCCUGGCCCUUCAUCCGUCACAGCAAACUACACUUUCACCUGGGCGUUCAUCGGGGGCAGCUCCUGGACAGGAGGCAGAACGCCCAGGUGAAAGAAUGAGCCCACAACUAUUUCAAGCCUGAUGGUUGGCCUUAGAAUUGCCACUGUCCUACAGUCAACAUUUCUGCAUAAUCACUUUGAUGGAAAUUCUCUAUACACACAAACCAGUUUGCCUGAAUUGAGCAUCAUGAAGAAGAAAGAGGAAAAGAUAGAGGAAAAAGCCACAUGUUGGGGGCCAGCCUGAUGGCAGAGUGGUUAAGCUUGCACACUCUGCUUCAGCAGCCCUGGGUUCGCAGGCUCAGAUCCCAGGCAUGGACCGAGCACCACUCGUCAAGCCAUGCUGUGGCAGCAUCCCACAUAAAAUAGAGGAAGAUGGGCACAGAUGUUAGCUCAGGGACAAUCUUCCUCAAGCAAAAAGAGAUGGCAACAGAUGUUAGCUCAGGGCCAAUCUUCCUCACAAAAAGAAGAAAGAAAGAAAGCUGCAUCUUAAAAAAAAAAAAACUACACUGCAGUAUAAAUAUUUUGGCAGGUUUUCUUAGAUCUUUUUGGUCAUGCAGGUUUCACUUGUAACCAUUCCCUCAUGGUACUGAAAACCUCUGCCAAAACAUCACUUUUAGCAGUUGCGUGAUAUUCCUUCAAGUACCUGAGUCCUGGCGUCCUUAACCAUUAUCUUCAUUUUGGGCCUGUCUCUGCAUUGUUAACUUAUACACAAUGCUAUCACGACUACCCCUGUGCACAGAGCUGUUUCCGUGUAUCAGGUGAACUAGCUGGGAGGAACUCUGGGACAAGUAAUUAAGGAAGAUAAUGGACACAUCUGUGCACUUUUUCCAAAAGAAGACAUUGCCUUUGCUCCCUGGACACAUUACGAGGCAGGACCAAGACCGUGACUUCUGAGUCUCUUCCAGCUUGAAGAACCACCUAAACCCAGGUUCCCCAUGAUUGGCCGCUUCAGAAUCGCAGGGGUGGGGCCCAGGCGUCUGUAUUUUUCAGCCCUCCAGGGGACAAACUACCUUGCCGAGUUCCACCCAGACAUCCCUCACGCAUGCACAGUUCCCAGAGGAAACUGUGGGUCAGGACUCUUCACAGGAAACGGCCGAAGCCAAUUAUAGGUGACUUAAGCGGCAAAGGGGGACUAACUGGUAGCUCACAGCACCAACGGGGAGCGGGCUCAAAAGCAGGUAGAAACCCAGAAGCCAGGAGGAGUCGGGGUACAGCACGCUGCCGCCCCUCCUGGAGCCGCCACCUCCACCUACUGGCCCUGUGGCCACCAGGAUGCAUUCUGAUCUGUCCCCUACCUCUGGGCAUCACUCACUCCACUACACUGGGCUAGAGCUACACUGGGCAAGAGCGCCUGGUUGGCUGAGCGUGGACCACACGCCCAUGCACAUGGGUACCUCACCCCCUUCCCUUCCUCUUUCCCUCUCACCUACACCCCCCCCCCCCCCCCCCGCCAUAGGAAAAGGAUUUGGCUACUAGGCAAUCCCAAAAGACAAAUAUUUUCUGUACACUCUGCUGACCUUUAUUACUUCAUUUGACUUCCACAAGAACCCUGCAAAGGUGGCCGGCCAGCAUGUAUUCCCCAUCUUGCCAACGAGGAAUCUGAGGCUGCGAGAGAGUGACUGGCCAAACUGAUGCUGAGGGUAGAGACAAGCUCUUUCCGCUACUCAGAACUACCUGCCUGUGGUCUGAUGCUGUGAAAUAUUGACAACGCCUGUCUCUCAUUUGAGCAGAGUUAUUGGAAGAGAAUCAGCUAUCACGAUGGCUAGAUACUAUACUUCAUAAACUUACUGAUCUGCCCAUCAUUUGUCUUAUUUGGUUGUUGUUGUUAAUACUUUUCGCUCCUGGAGAAAAUAUUCAGCUAGUGAGCUCAUCUGUUCUGCCAUUCAAUGUAUUAAAUUAACACCUCAACGCACGGUCUAAAACUUAGAGGUGAAAAAUUGGGUCCUUGCAGCCAAGACCAAAUAUCAUUUAUCUUAAGCUUGCAUAUUAGGGAGACUGUUUAAAAACGUGACUUUGAAAUUCCUUGGAAACAAAGGUGUUUCCUGCACUGUUUGGAGGACCGUCUUAGUUCAUUCGGGCUGCCAUAACAAAACACUACAGACUGAGUGGCUUAUAAACAACAGAAAUUUACUUUCUCGCCGUUCUAGAGGAUGGAAGUGCAAGAUCAAGGCACCAG